RNAcentral lists this ribosomal RNA (501 nucleotides) under uncultured bacterium. Its description in RNAcentral is "partial 16S ribosomal RNA". It matches the Rfam family "Bacterial small subunit ribosomal RNA", at positions 28 to 523 of the family's 1533-position model. The record is from RNAcentral.
GACGAACGCUGGCGGCAUGCCUUACACAUGCAAGUCGAACGGCAGCACGGGUGCUUGCACCUGGUGGCGAGUGGCGAACGGGUGAGUAAUACAUCGGAACGUACCUUAUCGUGGGGGAUAACGCAGCGAAAGUUGCGCUAAUACCGCAUACGCCCUGAGGGGGAAAGCGGGGGACCGUAAGGCCUCGCGCGAUUAGAGCGGCCGAUGUCUGAUUAGCUUGUUGGUGAGGUAAAAGCUCACCAAGGCGAUGAUCAGUAGCUGGUCUGAGAGGACGAUCAGCCACACUGGGACUGAGACACGGCCCAGACUCCUACGGGAGGCAGCAGUGGGGAAUUUUGGACAAUGGGGGCAACCCUGAUCCAGCAAUGCCGCGUGAGUGAAGAAGGCCUUCGGGUUGUAAAGCUCUUUUGUCAGGGAAGAAACAGCAGCUCUAACACAGCCUGCGAAUGACGGUACCUGAAGAAUAAGCACCGGCUAACUACGUGCCAGCCGCCGCCGUAA